This 253-nucleotide ribosomal RNA is filed under the name uncultured bacterium. Its description in RNAcentral is "partial 16S ribosomal RNA". It matches the Rfam family "Bacterial small subunit ribosomal RNA", at positions 524 to 776 of the family's 1533-position model. The record is from RNAcentral.
UACGUAGGGGGCAAGCGUUAUCCGGAUUUACUGGGUGUAAAGGGAGCGUAGACGGCCAUUCAAGCCAGAUGUGAAAGCCCGGGGCUCAACCCCGGGACUGCAUUUGGAACUGUAUGGCUGGAGUGUCGGAGAGGCAGGCGGAAUUCCUAGUGUAGCGGUGAAGUGCGUAGAUAUUAGGAGGAACACCAGUGGCGAAGGCGGCCUGCUGGACGAUGACUGACGUUGAGGCUCGAAAGCGUGGGGAGCAAACAGG